GUGCUUAAAAUUUGUUUGGAACUUUCUUUCUGAAUCUGUUCAUGAAUCAUACAAGUUAAUCAGUCACAUGAUGAUGUCACCAAUCCUCUUAUAUCUUUCUCCUUCUUAUUAUCUUUCUUGUUUUUUAACCCCAAACAAGAUGGAUCACUUAUUUCUGCAGCAAUAUUGGGACUGAGUGAGAAGUAAACCUUCUCAAUAUCUGAUAACUUAAUCUAAAUGAAGAUUUCCCAAGGGGGGUGCCCUUCGAGAGUAGUUUUGAAGAAAAGAAUGAUCAUGGAGAUAUAAUGAAUACAGAUCCUUCUGAAGGUGAUGCCUCUCAAUGUGAAUACUUUAUUUGAAAAUGUCAUCUAUAAUUGAGGACAAGUUAGCAAGAGUCCAGAGGCUGAGUGUGACUUUGAUCUUGGUGUCCAGCCUUUCUGGGUGCAAAUCGUUCUGAGGAGAAAGAGGAUACCAGUAAGACAUAAUGUCCAGGUAUUAUUGAACUGAGGAUAUUUUCAAGAAGAAAAUGAUCUCAUUGUUACUUGCUCAUUUUUCUAGAGCUAUUUUCUCUCAUCAACAGACCAUUGUCCGACUUGGUUCUGGGGAUUUAACCACUACGAGGAAUUUACCACUGAGCUACAGCUCCAAGC
Molecule: non-coding RNA, 629 nt
Organism: Ictidomys tridecemlineatus (thirteen-lined ground squirrel)
Lineage: Eukaryota; Metazoa; Chordata; Mammalia; Rodentia; Sciuridae
Source: RefSeq, a predicted model, not a curated record